RNAcentral lists this ribosomal RNA (411 nucleotides) under uncultured bacterium. Its description in RNAcentral is "bacterial SSU rRNA". It matches the Rfam family "Bacterial small subunit ribosomal RNA", at positions 338 to 766 of the family's 1533-position model. The record is from RNAcentral.
CCUACGGGAGGCAGCAGGGGGGAAUAUUGGACAAUGGGCGCAAGCCUGAUCCAGCCAUGCCGCGUGAGUGAUGAAGGCCUUAGGGUUGUAAAGCACUUUCACCGGUGAAGAUAAUGACGGUACCCGUAGAAGAAACCCCGGCUAACUCCGUGCCAGCAGCCGCGGUAAUACGGAGGGGGUUAGCGUUGUUCGGAAUUACUGGGCGUAAAGCGCRCGUAGGCGGACUAUUAAGUUAGGGGUGAAAUCCCGGGGCUCAACCCCGGAACUGCCUUUAAUACUGGUAGUCUAGAGUUCGAGAGAGGUGAGUGGAAUUCCGAGUGUAGAGGUGAAAUUCGUAGAUAUUCGGAGGAACACCAGUGGCGAAGGCGGCUCACUGGCUCGAUACUGACGCUGAGGUGCGAAAGCGUGGGG